This is a long non-coding RNA of Daphnia pulicaria, 450 nucleotides long. RefSeq lists it as uncharacterized. The transcript has 3 exons. The record is from RefSeq and is a predicted model, not a curated record. NCBI's taxonomy places the organism in Eukaryota, Metazoa, Arthropoda, Branchiopoda, Diplostraca, Daphniidae.
CAAAGCAUGAUACAAGCAUGGUAUAGAUGGAUCAUGAUACAAAGUUUCGAAAAGGAGACUAAUAAGAUUACAAAGAAAAAUGGAACGAUUACUUUAUUGAACGUAGAUGCACGAAUAUAAAAUGCAAAAAUGUGGUCAUCGUUAUGUGAAUUUUGGUGUCGCAGCCCUACAAGUUCCCCAUGCUGUUUGGCGGAUGUGAGUCCUAGCUGAGCCAGCCAUUGUAACAGCUGGUAACAGCAAAGUUUUUCUUGUGCUGGACCUCUUGUCGUGUGAUUUGACUGAUGAACUCCUGUCAUCAGCAGCAAUCACAGUAGCCUAUCAUUCCUUAGAUAAACAGCAUCCCUCUGGAUUGGAGAAACUUCCAGUGUCGACCGAGUUAAGGAUCUCUUCAAUUCCCGUUUCUUUUUUUUUGUCCUCGUGUACGCCCAUGUGAAUAUGGGUGUAUUCACG